UAGGGAAUAUUAGCAAUGGGCGAAAGCCUGAACUAGCAACACCGCGUGUGCGAAGAAGGCCUUCGGGUUGUAAAGCACUUUUUGAGAGGAUGAGGAAGGACGGUACUCUCAGAUAAGUCUCGGCUAACUACGUGCCAGCAGCCGCGGUAACACGUAGGAGGCGAACGUUAUCCGGAUUUACUGGGCGUAAAGCGCGUGUAGGUGGUACUGUAAGUAGGGCGUGAAAGCUCCUGGCUCAACUGGGAGAGGCCGUUCUAAACUACAGAACUAGAGGAUGGUAGAGGGAGGUGGAAUUCCAGGUGUAGCGGUGGAGUGCGCAGAUAUCCGGAGGAACACCAGUGGCGAAAGCGGCCUCCUGGACCACUCCUGACACUCAGACGCGAAAGCUAGGGUAGCAAACG
This 401-nucleotide ribosomal RNA is filed under the name uncultured prokaryote. RNAcentral describes it as "bacterial SSU rRNA". It matches the Rfam family "Bacterial small subunit ribosomal RNA", at positions 355 to 774 of the family's 1533-position model. The record is from RNAcentral.